Molecule: long non-coding RNA, 507 nt
Filed under: Nicotiana benthamiana
Lineage: Eukaryota; Viridiplantae; Streptophyta; Magnoliopsida; Solanales; Solanaceae
Description: long non-coding RNA (NBEN_LNC005792)
Source: RNAcentral
AUCUCUCCAAACCCUCUGACCUCCGGUGUAACGCCGCCAUCUUCCGCUACCUGCCACCGUCCGCCUCCGGCUGGAAAUCACCUCCGGCGACGCUGAUUGUCCAAUGCUCCCAAAUUUACACCAUAGCCUCCUCUCCUCCUCCUCAUUACAGAUCCUAGCUCUGUUCCCUUCAAAACCCCCCUCCAAUCGGUUGAAUAUUUAAAAUAGUGGUUGCCGUGUCCGGUGGGGCCACCGCCAAAUCUCACCAAAUUAACACCUUAUGCCCUCCUUACCCUCCUAUUUCUGUAUCCACCAUCAGUAUCCUUUGAGUCUCUCUCAAAGUUCUCGAAUUUUAAAUCAAAGAGCGUCGGAACCCUAGAAUGUCAAAGUGGUUUAAAUUCUUCCCAAUUUCUUGAGUCCAGAGUUUGAUUCGAGUCACGAAAUAAUAUUUUCGCUUUUCCUUGGUGAAGAACAAAUGUUAACAUCAUUCUGAGGCUCAAAUCGGGGCCCAACCUUGUUCAAUCAUGC